Molecule: unclassified non-coding RNA, 242 nt
Filed under: plant metagenome
Description: partial contains small subunit ribosomal RNA, internal transcribed spacer 1, and 5.8S ribosomal RNA
Source: RNAcentral
UCUCCGUUGGUGGACCAGCGGAGGGAUCAUUACCGAGUUUUCUACUCCCAAACCCCUGUGAACUUAUACCUUUACCGUUGCUUCGGCGGGUUAACGCCCCGGAAAGGCCCCCGAAAGGGAGCCGCCCCGGAACCAGGCGCCCGCCGGGGGGACCCAAACUCUUGUAUUUUCUUACCUAGCAUGUCUGAGUGGAAUCAUAAACAAAUGAAUCAAAACUUUCAACAACGGAUCUCUUGGUUCUG